Molecule: long non-coding RNA, 124 nt
Organism: Alligator mississippiensis (American alligator)
Lineage: Eukaryota; Metazoa; Chordata; Crocodylia; Alligatoridae
Exons: 2
Source: RefSeq, a predicted model, not a curated record
CUGCCAGCAGCCAAGGAGGAAGGAGUUUUCUCUCAUGGAAGAGAGGAGCAGUCUGACUGAAGGAGAGGCUUUUCUUGCAUUGUCCUUCUUCCAGGCCAGAAAAUGCUCAGACACAAGAGUCAAG